Molecule: ribosomal RNA, 468 nt
Filed under: uncultured bacterium
Lineage: Bacteria
Description: partial 16S ribosomal RNA
Rfam family: Bacterial small subunit ribosomal RNA
Source: RNAcentral
GACGAACGCUGGCGGCGUGCUUAACACAUGCAAGUCGAACGGAAAGGCCCUGCUUUUGUGGGGUGCUCGAGUGGCGAACGGGUGAGUAACACGUGAGUAACCUGCCCUUGACUUUGGGAUAACUUCAGGAAACUGGGGCUAAUACCGGAUAGGAGCUCCUGCUGCAUGGUGGGGGUUGGAAAGUUUCGGCGGUUGGGGAUGGACUCGCGGCUUAUCAGCUUGUUGGUGGGGUAGUGGCUUACCAAGGCUUUGACGGGUAGCCGGCCUGAGAGGGUGACCGGCCACAUUGGGACUGAGAUACGGCCCAGACUCCUACGGGAGGCAGCAGUGGGGAAUAUUGCACAAUGGGCGGAAGCCUGAUGCAGCAACGCCGCGUGCGGGAUGACGGCCUUCGGGUUGUAAACCGCUUUCGCCUGUGACGAAGCGCGAGUGACGGUAAUGGGUAAAGAAGCACCGGCUAACUACGUG